RNAcentral lists this ribosomal RNA (2579 nucleotides) under Staphylococcus aureus. RNAcentral describes it as "partial 23S ribosomal RNA". It matches the Rfam family "Bacterial large subunit ribosomal RNA", at positions 339 to 2925 of the family's 2925-position model. The record is from RNAcentral. Lineage: Bacteria; Bacillati; Bacillota; Bacilli; Caryophanales; Staphylococcaceae.
CAUCUGGAAAGAUGAAUCAAAGAAGGUAAUAAUCCUGUAGUCGAAAAUGUUGUCUCUCUUGAGUGGAUCCUGAGUACGACGGAGCACGUGAAAUUCCGUCGGAAUCUGGGAGGACCAUCUCCUAAGGCUAAAUACUCUCUAGUGACCGAUAGUGAACCAGUACCGUGAGGGAAAGGUGAAAAGCACCCCGGAAGGGGAGUGAAAUAGAACCUGAAACCGUGUGCUUACAAGUAGUCAGAGCCCGUUAAUGGGUGAUGGCGUGCCUUUUGUAGAAUGAACCGGCGAGUUACGAUUUGAUGCAAGGUUAAGCAGUAAAUGUGGAGCCGUAGCGAAAGCGAGUCUGAAUAGGGCGUUUAGUAUUUGGUCGUAGACCCGAAACCAGGUGAUCUACCCUUGGUCAGGUUGAAGUUCAGGUAACACUGAAUGGAGGACCGAACCGACUUACGUUGAAAAGUGAGCGGAUGAACUGAGGGUAGCGGAGAAAUUCCAAUCGAACCUGGAGAUAGCUGGUUCUCUCCGAAAUAGCUUUAGGGCUAGCCUCAAGUGAUGAUUAUUGGAGGUAGAGCACUGUUUGGACGAGGGGCCCCUCUCGGGUUACCGAAUUCAGACAAACUCCGAAUGCCAAUUAAUUUAACUUGGGAGUCAGAACAUGGGUGAUAAGGUCCGUGUUCGAAAGGGAAACAGCCCAGACCACCAGCUAAGGUCCCAAAAUAUAUGUUAAGUGGAAAAGGAUGUGGCGUUGCCCAGACAACUAGGAUGUUGGCUUAGAAGCAGCCAUCAUUUAAAGAGUGCGUAAUAGCUCACUAGUCGAGUGACACUGCGCCGAAAAUGUACCGGGGCUAAACAUAUUACCGAAGCUGUGGAUUGUCCUUUGGACAAUGGUAGGAGAGCGUUCUAAGGGCGUUGAAGCAUGAUCGUAAGGACAUGUGGAGCGCUUAGAAGUGAGAAUGCCGGUGUGAGUAGCGAAAGACGGGUGAGAAUCCCGUCCACCGAUUGACUAAGGUUUCCAGAGGAAGGCUCGUCCGCUCUGGGUUAGUCGGGUCCUAAGCUGAGGCCGACAGGCGUAGGCGAUGGAUAACAGGUUGAUAUUCCUGUACCACCUAUAAUCGUUUUAAUCGAUGGGGGGACGCAGUAGGAUAGGCGAAGCGUGCGAUUGGAUUGCACGUCUAAGCAGUAAGGCUGAGUAUUAGGCAAAUCCGGUACUCGUUAAGGCUGAGCUGUGAUGGGGAGAAGACAUUGUGUCUUCGAGUCGUUGAUUUCACACUGCCGAGAAAAGCCUCUAGAUAGAAAAUAGGUGCCCGUACCGCAAACCGACACAGGUAGUCAAGAUGAGAAUUCUAAGGUGAGCGAGCGAACUCUCGUUAAGGAACUCGGCAAAAUGACCCCGUAACUUCGGGAGAAGGGGUGCUCUUUAGGGUUAACGCCCAGAAGAGCCGCAGUGAAUAGGCCCAAGCGACUGUUUAUCAAAAACACAGGUCUCUGCUAAACCGUAAGGUGAUGUAUAGGGGCUGACGCCUGCCCGGUGCUGGAAGGUUAAGAGGAGUGGUUAGCUUCUGCGAAGCUACGAAUCGAAGCCCCAGUAAACGGCGGCCGUAACUAUAACGGUCCUAAGGUAGCGAAAUUCCUUGUCGGGUAAGUUCCGACCCGCACGAAAGGCGUAACGAUUUGGGCACUGUCUCAACGAGAGACUCGGUGAAAUCAUAGUACCUGUGAAGAUGCAGGUUACCCGCGACAGGACGGAAAGACCCCGUGGAGCUUUACUGUAGCCUGAUAUUGAAAUUCGGCACAGCUUGUACAGGAUAGGUAGGAGCCUUUGAAACGUGAGCGCUAGCUUACGUGGAGGCGCUGGUGGGAUACUACCCUAGCUGUGUUGGCUUUCUAACCCGCACCACUUAUCGUGGUGGGAGACAGUGUCAGGCGGGCAGUUUGACUGGGGCGGUCGCCUCCUAAAAGGUAACGGAGGCGCUCAAAGGUUCCCUCAGAAUGGUUGGAAAUCAUUCAUAGAGUGUAAAGGCAUAAGGGAGCUUGACUGCGAGACCUACAAGUCGAGCAGGGUCGAAAGACGGACUUAGUGAUCCGGUGGUUCCGCAUGGAAGGGCCAUCGCUCAACGGAUAAAAGCUACCCCGGGGAUAACAGGCUUAUCUCCCCCAAGAGUUCACAUCGACGGGGAGGUUUGGCACCUCGAUGUCGGCUCAUCGCAUCCUGGGGCUGUAGUCGGUCCCAAGGGUUGGGCUGUUCGCCCAUUAAAGCGGUACGCGAGCUGGGUUCAGAACGUCGUGAGACAGUUCGGUCCCUAUCCGUCGUGGGCGUAGGAAAUUUGAGAGGAGCUGUCCUUAGUACGAGAGGACCGGGAUGGACAUACCUCUGGUGUACCAGUUGUCGUGCCAACGGCAUAGCUGGGUAGCUAUGUGUGGACGGGAUAAGUGCUGAAAGCAUCUAAGCAUGAAGCCCCCCUCAAGAUGAGAUUUCCCAACUUCGGUUAUAAGAUCCCUCAAAGAUGAUGAGGUUAAUAGGUUCGAGGUGGAAGCAUGGUGACAUGUGGAGCUGACGAAUACUAAUCGAUCGAAGACUUAAUCAA